This is a non-coding RNA of Pelobates cultripes (western spadefoot toad), 812 nucleotides long. Lineage: Eukaryota; Metazoa; Chordata; Amphibia; Anura; Pelobatidae. The record is from the annotation of a GenBank genome assembly.
CUAGAACUUCUUUUGGCCUGGGGUCUCCCGGGAUGUUCGGCAAUACUGCCAAACUUGUGAUGUAUGCCCCUAACGAGGCAUAGUCUACUAUACUACCCGGUACCCAGAGGUGGUCAUGGAAGCCAGAGCUGAUGCGAGUAUUUUCCCAAGUGGGGUUUCCUCGGCAGAUCAUAUUGGAUCAGGGCACCCAGUUCACCGCUGAGGUCACACACACCAACUCUGCAUGUUCAAAUCCAUCCAGAGCUCCCUGCACCUUCCCCAGAUGAACAGCAUCUAUGAGCAGUUUAAUAGGAAACUAGAGUACAUGCUUCGGACAUUCACUACCACUUGCAGGGACUGGGAGAGAUUUCUGCCACACCUCCUGUUCACCUACUGGGUGGUGUAGCAGGAAUCCACGGGGUUCUCUCCGUUAGAGUUGCUGUAAGGUUGAUGGGUGAGGGGCCCUCUUGAUCUCAUCAGGGAAAACUGGGAAAAGUAGACCGGGAUAGAAGGGACUACGAUUAUACCCUAUGUGCUGGAGCUAAGGAACCACCUGAGGUAGUUGACCAAUACGGUUUGGGUUGGGCAAAAGGUUUUGGUUUUAAAGCUGGUCCACCACCACAAGCUGUCUUGCAGGGGACCUACAAUGUGAUGGAACAGGUCUGCGACACUCCCCAAGUACUGGCUAGCUGUGCCAAUCACAAGGUGAUGCAUACCUUCCACGUGAACAUGCUGAAAGAGUACGGGGAAAGGGAUGAAGAGGUGGCCAUGAUAUGUUUCGGACGACCUGGAGAGCUUGCCCCUACCUGAUGAUCUAGGGAUAGAAGUGCAGG